GGCUGUAGCUCAGUGAUAGAGCACUUGCCUAAAGUGGGUGAGGCACUGGGUUCAAUCCUCAGCACCA
This 67-nucleotide transfer RNA is filed under the name Marmota monax (woodchuck). Its description in RNAcentral is "tRNA.Phe". The record is from RNAcentral. Lineage: Eukaryota; Metazoa; Chordata; Mammalia; Rodentia; Sciuridae.